UAUCGGGGUCCGAUUUAGCCAUGCUAGUCGCGCGGGUUAGACCCGCGGCGUAUAGCUCAGUAACACGUGGCCAAACUACCCUACAGACGGGAACAACCUCGGGAAACUGAGGCUAACUCCCGAUACGCGUCGACUGUUUGAACACGUCGACGUUCAAACGCUCCGGCGCUGUAGGAUGUGGCUGCGGCCGAUUAGGUAGACGGUGGGGUAACGGCCCACCGUGCCAAUAAUCGGUACGGGUUGUGAGAGCAAGAGCCCGGAGACGGAAUCUGAGACAAGAUUCCGGGCCCUACGGGGCGCAGCAGGCGCGAAACCUUUACACUGCACGCCAGUGCGAUAAGGGGACCCCGAGUGAAAGGGCAUAUCGCCCUUUCUUUUCUGAACCGUAGGGAGGUUCAGGAACAAGAGCUGGGCAAGACCGGUGCCAGCCGCCGCGGUAAUACCGGCAGCUCGAGUGAUGACCGAUCUUAUUGGGCCUAAAGCGUCCGUAGCUGGCCGCGCAAGUCCGUCGGGAAAUCCACCCGCUUAACGGGUGGGCGUCCGGCGGAAACUGUGCGGCUUGGGACAGGAAGGCUCGAGGGGUACGUUCGGGGUAGGAGUGAAAUCCCGUAAUCCUGAACGGACCGCCGAUGGCGAAAGCACCUCGAGAGGACUGAUCCGACAGUGAGGGACGAAAGCUGGGGUCUCGAACCGGAUUAGAUACCCGGGUAGUCCCAGCCGUAAACGAUGUUCGCUAGGUGUGUCACUCACUACGAGUGAGUGAUGUGCCGCAGGGAAGCCGCUAAGCGAACCGCCUGGGAAGUACGUCCGCAAGGAUGAAACUUAAAGGAAUUGGCGGGGA
RNAcentral lists this ribosomal RNA (841 nucleotides) under archaeon Bitterns-U. RNAcentral describes it as "bacterial SSU rRNA". It matches the Rfam family "Archaeal small subunit ribosomal RNA", at positions 31 to 874 of the family's 1478-position model. The record is from RNAcentral.